GGUAGUCCACGCCGUAAACGGUGGGCGCUAGUUGUGCGAACCUUCCACGGUUUGUGCGACGCAGCUAACGCAUUAAGCGCCCCGCCUGGGGAGUACGAUCGCAAGAUUAAAACUCAAAGGAAUUGACGGGGCCCCGCACAAGCAGCGGAGCAUGCGGCUUAAUUCGACGCAACGCGAAGAACCUUACCAAGGCUUGACAUAUACAGGAAUACGGCAGAGAUGUCGUAGCCGCAAGGUCUGUAUACAGGUGGUGCAUGGUUGUCGUCAGCUCGUGUCGUGAGAUGUUGGGUUAAGUCCCGCAACGAGCGCAACCCUCGUUCUGUGUUGCCAGCAUUUAGUUGGGGACUCACAGGAGACUGCCGGGGUUAACUCGGAGGAAGGUGGGGAUGACGUCAAAUCAUCAUGCCCCUUAUGUCUUGGGCUGUACGCAUGCUACAAUGGCUGGUACAAACGGCUGCAAUACCGCAAGGUGGGGCGAAUCCGAGAAAGCCAGUCUCAGUUCGGAUUGGGGUCUGCAACUCGACCCCAUGAAGUCGGAGUUGCUAGUAAUCGUAGAUCAGCAACGCUACGGUGAAUACGUUCCCGGGGCUUGUACACACCGCCCGUCACAUCACGAAAGUCGGUAACACCCAAAGUCAGUGGCCCAACCGUAAG
RNAcentral lists this ribosomal RNA (654 nucleotides) under uncultured Actinomycetes bacterium. RNAcentral describes it as "bacterial SSU rRNA". It matches the Rfam family "Bacterial small subunit ribosomal RNA", at positions 789 to 1445 of the family's 1533-position model. Lineage: Bacteria; Bacillati; Actinomycetota; Actinomycetes. The record is from RNAcentral.